CCUGGCUCAGAAUCAACGCUGGCGGCGUGCCUAACACAUGCAAGUCGAACGCGAAAGUGGAGCAAUCCAUGAGUAGAGUGGCAAACGGGUGAGUAACACGUGGGCGACCUACCUCUGAGUGGGGGAUAACCUUCCGAAAGGAGGGCUAAUACCGCAUGACAUCCCGUGUUUGGAUACACGGACAUCAAAGCCGGGGAUCGCAAGACCUGGCGCUUAGAGAGGGGCCCGCGUCCGAUUAGCUAGUUGGUGAGGUAACGGCUCACCAAGGCUCCGAUCGGUAUCCGGCCUGAGAGGGCAGACGGACACACUGGAACUGAGACACGGUCCAGACUCCUACGGGAGGCNGCAGUGGGGAAUUCCNCGCAAUGGGCGCAAGCC
RNAcentral lists this ribosomal RNA (378 nucleotides) under uncultured Acidobacteriota bacterium. Its description in RNAcentral is "bacterial SSU rRNA". It matches the Rfam family "Bacterial small subunit ribosomal RNA", at positions 18 to 383 of the family's 1533-position model. The record is from RNAcentral. Lineage: Bacteria; Pseudomonadati; Acidobacteriota.